This is a long non-coding RNA of Hevea brasiliensis (rubber tree), 1077 nucleotides long. RefSeq lists it as uncharacterized. The record is from RefSeq and is a predicted model, not a curated record. The transcript is spliced from 3 exons. NCBI's taxonomy places the organism in Eukaryota, Viridiplantae, Streptophyta, Magnoliopsida, Malpighiales, Euphorbiaceae.
CCGGCGGCUGGCUACCGUGCGCGGUGGUGCCGGCGGUGGCUCCGGUGAGCUAUGCAGAUGGUUCAACUUCCAGAGGCUUCCUCAUAAAUUUUUGAAAUUUUUGAGACACAGAUAAACUUCGGGUGAUCGAGGUCAGCUAUUUUCUGCAUCCAGCAGCCACAAUAGUCAUCAGUGUACUGCCACAGGAGGAGUUAUUUUACAGAGCAACCUAUUUUCUUCCUCGCAGGUUUAAUGUCGAUUAUUUAAUUGUUUUACUAUCUUUUCUAAAUUUAAAAUCUAGAACUCCGCAUGUGUUAGUAAUAGUGUGGACCUUAUUAGGAAUCGUGUAAUUUAAAUUUUUCAGAUUAAUAAAUAAAGAUUUGUAUAGUAUUUAAACAGUUUGUAAAAUGAGGUAACAGGGUUGAGCCGGGCUCCCCUAAUUUUAGUCUCUGAUGAUUUUUGGGCUAAGAUGGCCCGAAAUAAAAUUAUAACAGUUUAAUUUAAAUUAUUUUUAUAUGCAUAUUGGGCCUAAAUUAUGGGCUUGGUUAUGGGUUGAGGAAUAGUUAGGCUUACUACGGGCCUCGGGGGCUUUAGGCUGGCCCAGGUCCUAGUGCCGGUCCGGCCCAUAGGUUGGGUCGUGACAAAGUUGGUAUCAGAGCUUAGGCUCUAGAUUCAUGGGAAAUAAUAUAAUUGGGACUGUAAAAGGAGUCUUGUUAGGAUGUUACAUGCGGAGUAUAGGAUUCUGCUUCGUCUUUUUCUGUGAUUCUUUGUUUCUAGAUUCUGCGUUAUACCUCGGGAAAUAUAAAAGUGCCUCAAUUAGUGUCUUGAUUUUCGUGGAGUACAUAGAAAUGUGAAAUAGAGUUAGUAGACAUGUGAGGUCCAUCAUGAGGAUACGUACUCCAAGAAAUGCUAUGUUUCUGUCUGUAUGGGUUUAAAUGGUGUGCCCAUUUCGUGCAAGGCACGAGUACAUAAAGGUGAGUCUUGAAAGUACAGUUGCCCUAGAUAAGGAUGAGGAUACCACUGCAGGCAGUCAUCAGUGGAUGACCCCGUCAGAAUAAGUUUAUGAUAAUAGAAGAUUCAAGAGAGAUAAGAGAUUAA